AUCAAAAGCCUUGAAAAUACCAGUCAGUACUGUUCAAUGACUUAUUAAGAAGUGGAAAAUUUGGGGAUCUCUUGACACUAAGCCAAGGUCAGGUAGACCAAGAAAGAUUUCAGCCACAACUGCCAGAAGAAUUGUUCGAGAUACUAAGAAAGACCAGCAGGUACCUCGGGAGAAAUACGGGCUGCUCUGGAAAACGACGGUGUGGUUGUUUCAAGGAGCACAAUAUGACAAUACUUGAACAAAAAUGAACUGCAUGGUCGAGUUGCCAGAAAGAAGCCUUUACUGCUCAAAUGCCACAAAAAAGCCCAUUUACAAUAUUCCCAACAACACCUUGACACGCUGCACAGCUUCUGGCACACUGUAAUUUGGAGUGACAACACCAAAAUACAGCUUUAUGGUUACAACCAGAAGUGCUAUGAUUGCAGAGGGGUCAGUAAGGCCUAUAGUGAAUAAAAUACCAAACCCACUUUAAAGUAUGGGUGUAAACUCUAAAGGCAUGGGGAAUCUUGAUAGAAUUGAUGGCAAGAUGAAUGCAGCAUGUUAUCAGAAAAUACUGGCAGAUGAGCAUCCUUUCUAGUUGGUGCUUGUACCAGUUGUGACAUAAAGGUGUCAUUUAACACAUUAAAAAAAACCUUAUUCCCCUUGCUGAAGUACUAGUCACUCUAUCCCAAUUUAUGUCCGGGUAAUUAAAAUCUCCAAUAAUUAACGUGUUACCCCGAUUUGCAGCUUUCCCAAUUUGAACAGCUCUUUUUCCAAAAUAAUAUUUACAUUAGGUGGUUUAUAACAUAUCCCAACCAAUAAUUGAUUUCCUUUUGUUUGCCCCAAGCAGAUAUAUACCCAUAAAGCUUCAACAUUUUCCUUGUCACACUCCACAUGCCUAAGAUUUGACUUUAACUCAUGGUUGACACACAAACAUACCCCACCACCCUUCUUGUUUUUCCUAUCCUUCCUAAAUAACGUGUACCCAUUUAAGUUAACUGCCCCUCUAUUGAUUACAGCAGAAAAAGGUGAAGGUUCUGGAGUGGCCAUCAUAGUCUCCGGAUCUUAAUAUCAUCGAGUCACACUGGGGAGAUCUCAAACAUUUAUGCAAGAAGACCAAAGACUUCGCAUGACCUGUAGGCAUUUUGGUAAGACAAAUGGGCAGCUAUACCACAUGCAAGAAUUAUGGCCCUCAAAGACAACAAUUACAAAAGACUGCACGCUGUCAUUAAUGCUAAAGUGGGCAAUACACAGUAUGAAGAACUAAGGGUAUGCAGACUUUUGAACAGGGGUCAUUUCAUUUUUUUUUCUUUGUUGCCAUAUUUUGUUUUAUUAUUGUGCCAUUCAGUUAAAAUCUACAGUUGGAUAUGAAUCCCAUAAGAAAUAAAAAUAAAUGUGCUUUGUCUGCUCACUCAUGUUUUCUUUAAAAAUGGUUCAUGUAUUACCAAUUCUCCAAGGGUAUGCAAACUUUUGAGCACAACUGUAUAUAUUCACUCAUGUAUAAAAUACACACAUAUUGGGCAAUCUUUGGUACAAAGCAUUGGCUGCAAGCAGAACAUUUUAAUACAUACCCUUGAGAACCCAAUGUCUUGCAAGCUCUGGAAAUAAUUAAUAUCUCAGCUGUAUAAUUCAGGGUCUUUAGGAUAUUGGUAUUUUCUAACUUAUUAUUGCACUCCAGAAUAUUAUACUGCUUUAUUACAAAGAUGAUAUUUACAACUCUGAUAACAUGGCAUGCAUGUUUAGUUUCGUUUAGGGAAUAACAACUUCAGGAAUUCAUUGUAAGAGUUAUUUCUGAUAAAUUUGUAAAACUAAAAGAUAUUGACUAACCAGAGAAUUGUGCUGAAUUAAACAGGUGGAGGUUAGUUUAAAGGGACACUUUAGUCACCAAAACAACUUUAAUUUAAUUAAGCAGUUUUCAUUAGCAACUUCAUUAAGCUAAAAUUGUUUUGGUGACUAUAGUGUCCCUUUAAACUUUAUGUGGAAGGAGACUCCUUCCCAAGGUAAAAAUGUUUGGG
This is a non-coding RNA of Pelobates cultripes (western spadefoot toad), 1994 nucleotides long. Lineage: Eukaryota; Metazoa; Chordata; Amphibia; Anura; Pelobatidae. The record is from the annotation of a GenBank genome assembly.